GACCUGGAUAUAUAUUGCACCAUCUUCCUAUCAUCUGUUCUCCUCCCCUUUCUCCUCCAAAGCUACAUUCAUCCCUGUGUGUUCAUGGACUCCAUCCUUCUCCUGCCUCUGGUUGCUCUCCUAGUUGUUGCCAUCUCAUGGCUAUGGGAUUACACCGUCGUGCGACUGAUUUGGAGGCCUCACUGCAUAGCCAAGGAAUUCAGAGAGAAGCAGGGGAUCCGUGGACCUGCCUACAAGUUCUUGGGAGGCAACAAUGGCGAAAUCAGCAGGUUGAAGGAGGAGGCAGAUGGCCAGGUGUUGGAUAAUCUUCGUGACCACAACUACCUCCCAAGGAUAGCACCUCACUUCCUCAAAUGGAGGGCUCAGUAUGGAGAAGCGUUUCUGUUUUGGUAUGGAGCAAAGCCACGCAUCUGCAUUUUCGACUAUGAGUUGGCUAGGCAGAUUCUCUCGAGCAAGUCUGGACAUUUUCUGAAGAAUGAUGCGCCCCCAACUCUGGUGGCCCUAAUGGGCAAGGGAUUAGUACUCUUGGAAGGCACUGAUUGGGUGCGCCAUCGCAGGGUAAUCAACCCUGCUUUUAACAUGGACAAGCUCAAGAUGAUGAUAAGCACAAUGACGGGUUGUGCUCAAAGCUUGGCCAAGGAGUUAGAGGAUGUCGCAGCCAAGAACAAGGACAGAGUAACAGAGGUCGACCUCAACCAAAAAUUCAGAUAGCUAACAGCAGAUAUUAUUGCCCAUACUGCCUUCGGCAGCAGUUACCAAUUAGGCAAAGAGGCCUUCCAGGCACAGCAUGAACUGACAGAGAUCACCAUGGCAACUUUAUUUCAAGUGCAAUUACCAGGGCUCAACUAUCUUCCUACUGAAAGAAAUCGGCGCAAAUGGAGGCUUCAGAAGAAUCUCAGGGACACACUGAUGCAGAUCAUACGAUCGCGGCUAUCAUCAAAAGACGGCGGGUACGGCAACGAUCUGCUCGGUUUGAUGCUUGGCGCCUGCGCUUCAGACGAGCAAGGGGAGGCCAGCAGCUUGAGCAUGGACGAGAUCGUAGACGAGUGCAAGACGUUCUUCUUAGCCGGCCAUGAGACCACCUCCCUCCUCCUCACAUGGACCGUCUUCUUGCUCAGCGUGUACCCCGAAUGGCAGGAAAGGCUCAGAAACGAGGUCUUGAGAGAAUGUGGGACGGAUCAGUGUCCUGAUGCCAAUUCACUCGGCAAACUGAAGGAGAUGACAAUGGUGCUCCUGGAGACACUGAGGCUGUACAACCCGGCGCUCUUCAUCCAGAGGAAGCCCACGGCGGACAUCACGGUGGGAUCGCUGGCGAUCCCCGCCGGCGUCGCCGUCUACAUCCCGGUCCCGAUCAUGCACCGGGACAGGGAGGUCUGGGGGCACGACGCCGGCGAGUUCAACCCGCUGAGGUUCCGGGACGGGGCGGCGAGGGCGGCGGCGGCGGCGGGGAUCCCGCACGCGCUCCUGUCCUUCUCGAUCGGGCCGAGGUCGUGCAUCGGCCAGGGCUUCGCGAUGCUGGAGGCGAAGGCGGCCAUGGCCGCGAUGCUGCGGAGGCUCUCGUUCCGCGUCUCCCCCGGGUACGUGCACGCGCCCGUGGAUUUGAUCACGCUCAAGCCCAAGUUUGGGCUUCCGGUGAUCGUGAGGCUGCCGGAUGCAUGAAGUGGGGGUGUGUUUCGAUCACGCGUAUAGCAAUAAUAAAAACCAGUCAAUAGUAAUACCCUACGCUUUGCUGCGGAAUAUAUGUUUAUGUUUAAAUAGCGUGGAAAUGAUGUGAAGAUGAUGAGUUGAUAUUGCUUGCAUGUUAAGUUCUAAAAAUACAACAAAAUUGUAAAUGUUGUGCCGUGUUUGCGUGAGAUUGAAAUCGGUAAAUGAUGUGUCAUGGUUGUAUGAGAUUUAAGAUACUCUAAAUAAUAAUUGCUAGUGGAUGAUUAUGUGACGUA
Molecule: non-coding RNA, 1940 nt
Organism: Oryza sativa Japonica Group (Japanese rice)
Lineage: Eukaryota; Viridiplantae; Streptophyta; Magnoliopsida; Poales; Poaceae
Source: RefSeq, a predicted model, not a curated record